This 381-nucleotide unclassified non-coding RNA is filed under the name uncultured Gaiellales bacterium. Its description in RNAcentral is "contains 16S-23S intergenic spacer region". The record is from RNAcentral. Lineage: Bacteria; Bacillati; Actinomycetota; Thermoleophilia; Gaiellales.
UCGCGGCUUAUCACCGGCAGUCCCCUUAGAGUGCCCAACUGAAUGAUGGCAACUAAGGGCGAGGGUUGCGCUCGUUGCGGGACUUAACCCAACAUCUCACGGCAUGAGCUGACGACAGCCAUGCAGCACCUGAGCACGCUGCCCUUUCAGGCUCAUCCCCCUUUCAGGGUCCUACUACGUGCAUGUCCAACCUGGGUAAGGUUCUUCGCGUUGCGUCGAAUUGAACCACAUGCUCCGCUGCUUGUGCGGGCCCCCGUCAAUUCCUUUGAGUUUUAGCCUUGCGGCCGUACUCCCCAGGCGGGGAACUUAAUGCGUUAGCUUCGGCACGGACGGAGUCGACACCGCCCACACCUAGUUCCCAUCGUUUACGGCGUGGACUAC